GUGGUUAAAAAGCUCGUAGUUGGAUCUCGGCGGUCUGAGGGCGGUUCGCUUGAUUGAGUGCUACUGCUCUAUAGGCCGUGGUUUUGCCAGAGGUCUCGGGGUGCUCUUAACCGAGUGUCCUGCGAUGCUGGCAGGUUUACUUUGAAAAAAUUAGAGUGCUCAAAGCAGGCCUUUACGCCUGAAUAUUCGUGCAUGGAAUAAUAGAAUAGGAAGUCGUUUCUAUUUUGUUGGUUUUCGGAAAUCGACUUAAUGAUUAAUAGGGACAGUCGGGGGCAUUUGUAUUCAAACGACAGAGGUGAAAUUCUUGGACCGUUUGAAGACAAACUACUGCGAAAGCAUUUGCCAAGAAUGUUUUCAUUAAUCAAGAACGAAAGUUAGAGGUUCGAAGGCGAUUAGAUACCGCCCUAGUUCUAACCAUAAACGAUGCCAGCUAGCGAUCUGCCGACGUUCUCUUUGUAGACUCGGCAGGAAGCUUCCGGGAAACCAAAGCAUUUGGGUUCCAGGGGAAGUAUGGUUGCAAAGCUGAAACUUAAAGGAAUUGACGGAAGGGCACCACCAGGAGUGGAGCCUGUGGCUUAAUUUGACUCAACACGGGAAAUCUCACCAGGCCCGGACACUGGAAGGAUUAACAGAUUGAUAGCU
This 642-nucleotide ribosomal RNA is filed under the name uncultured marine eukaryote. RNAcentral describes it as "SSU rRNA". It matches the Rfam family "Eukaryotic small subunit ribosomal RNA", at positions 615 to 1256 of the family's 1831-position model. The record is from RNAcentral.